This 73-nucleotide transfer RNA is filed under the name Candidatus Curtissbacteria bacterium. Its description in RNAcentral is "tRNA-Met". It matches the Rfam family "tRNA". From Rfam's summary of the family: Transfer RNA (tRNA) molecules are approximately 80 nucleotides in length. Their secondary structure includes four short double-helical elements and three loops (D, anti-codon, and T loops). Further hydrogen bonds mediate the characteristic L-shaped molecular structure. tRNAs have two regions of fundamental functional importance: the anti-codon, which is responsible for specific mRNA codon recognition, and the 3' end, to which the tRNAs corresponding amino acid is attached (by aminoacyl-tRNA synthetases). tRNAs cope with the degeneracy of the genetic code in two manners: having more than one tRNA (with a specific anti-codon) for a particular amino acid; and 'wobble' base-pairing, i.e. permitting non-standard base-pairing at the 3rd anti-codon position. The record is from RNAcentral. Lineage: Bacteria; Candidatus Curtissiibacteriota.
GGCGGCGUAGCUCAGUUGGUAGAGCACGGGAUUCAUAAACCCGCGGUCGUUGGUUCGAGCCCAACCGUCGCCA